GCUGAGUUGGGUAGCGCCAACUUGUGACCCGAGUGGGAGCAUUAGAGUGAUGGAACAUGGCUACGGCUUGUUGGGCUGGUCUGUUGGCUGCAAUAUGCUGGCCUGCCCGCUCCAAGUUGAGAGUUGGUCCACGGGACUUGUGCGAAGGCCUAUGUCUCUUGGUUCCUAGACGAGAGGGAAUGGCGUGAGGCUGGUUUCACAGAGCAGCGAAUACCUCUGGCUCCUGACAGUGGAGGGAUUACGGGCUGCUGCACUUUCAGUCCAUUAAGCCCGCUGAGCCUAGCCUCUGAACCAUCACUUUU
RNAcentral lists this signal recognition particle RNA (302 nucleotides) under Medicago truncatula (barrel medic). Its description in RNAcentral is "SRP RNA gene2131". It matches the Rfam family "Plant signal recognition particle RNA". Lineage: Eukaryota; Viridiplantae; Streptophyta; Magnoliopsida; Fabales; Fabaceae. The record is from Rfam by way of RNAcentral.